UGACAACUUUUUAUUAUUAUGUCUUCACUUUUCUGUCGGUGUAUUCUCUUCCCUAUGUUAUUGUCUUUUCCUAUUCCUCUUCUUCUUCAAAAGCGUCGAUCCGAAGACAAAAUACAGAUUUUUGAAUCCUUUCUUUUGAUCUUAGAUCCGAUCUUAUAUUGUUCCUGUAAGUAUACUCUUUUUGAUUCAGGAUCGACAUCUUCUAAUCUAUAAAGGAGUAGAUUACCAUAAUCUUAUUUUGUGAUGGCAAAGUCUACGGAUCUUAUUCCUAAUCUGUCGACAGAUAAUAGUAACUGAUCGUAAAGAGAACAUAUAUUAGAAGGAACAAUAAGACAACCCCUGAAAAUAAGACAACCCCUGAAAAGAUAAGUCCACUUCUCUAUCUCUAUGCUAUAUAUAAUUGUUAAGCUAUGAAUGUGUUAUUUUGGUAGAAUGUUAUUUAAAGAAAACAAUUUGGAAAUAGAUGUUUUUGGUAAAAAAUAAUAAAAAUAUAUGGUUAUAUUGUUUAGUUUGAUGAUAUCACAUGUUUAGUUUGAUGAUAUAACAUGUUUAGUUUGAUGUUUGUUGGUAAAAAAGAAUACAAAUAGAUUAUCUUUCUUUGGAUAGUGAACAGUAGGACUUAUUUCUUUCAUUCUUACUAAUCGUUGUUGUUUAAUAUUAUAUAUACAUAAACUUUGUUUCAGGUACUUGAGUUACCCAAAGCAGAAAAUGUAGGCGUACCCGAAGCAGAAUAAAUAUCUUGGCCACAGUCAUCAAAUGCAGAAUAAUAAGGUUCAACUUCCACAAAAAUAUUCCCUUGAGAAGGUCCCUCAAUACCAGAAGAUACAGGAUAGUUUGUGUAUAGCAUGGGGUAACAAAUGUUCGGAGGGCAUACUGAAAGGGAUUCCAAUUACAAUAUGGCUCAAUCGUCAUUUUUCAGAGAGGAUUCGGUGACGUUGGAGCUAUUUAUGAUCGACAGCUUGAAUCCAUGGCUAGUCGGUCGGUACUUUCCAGCAGUUGGGGUCACUGAGAAAUUCUCAAUGAACCUCCACUGUCCAACGUGCAGUUUCUUAACACGACCAAGGAAGACUCUUUUGCAGUAUGAAGUGAAGAGAGUCUCCACCAGGGUAAUUCGAAUGUUGAGUCCAUGAAUGUAGUACUUUUACUUCAAUCUUCCAAGUUGUUUUAAAUGGUUUGACAUUUUUCAACAACGUUAUUCCGUCGGAUGUAACCAUAGCCAUUUGGGAGUUUUGUUUGUCGAGAUGUGAUGAAAAGAUUAGGUGAUGGAAGCCUUUUUAUAGUGGAAGCAUCGAGAGCAUAUUCUGAAUCUGAUAUUUUAAAUUUUAUACGGUUGUAUCGAUAGGGAUUAGGAUAUAAUUUUGUUAAGAUUUAGAAGAUAUAUCAUAAUAUUUCUGUUAUAAUCUUUUAAUUGAUUUAAAGUUUGAUAUUAUCUGGCUUUUUCACAUCGAUUAUUAUCUUGAUAAAAUAUAGGUUAGUUGAGAUUUUAAACAUUUAAGUAGUAGAAUAUUCUCAUCUAAUAUUAUCAUGCGAUAUUAUCUUCACAAAAAUAUAGGUAAUUGGAUUUUAAACUUCUAUUUUCUGUCUAACAGUGGUUUAUUGUUGUUUAUUAGGAAAAUCGGGUCGAUGGAGUGUAUACCAAGUCCUGUAAACCAAUGAUAAAGGUCCAAAA
RNA transcript from Raphanus sativus (radish), 1669 nucleotides. RefSeq lists it as uncharacterized. Lineage: Eukaryota; Viridiplantae; Streptophyta; Magnoliopsida; Brassicales; Brassicaceae. The transcript has 7 exons. The record is from RefSeq and is a predicted model, not a curated record.